GGGCGAGGUGAAGCGGCAAAAGCUCCACUUUGAAAGCGUUUCGACGCGUUGUAGUGCGGUUCAGUCUUUGAGUGACGGAUGACUAAGUCCCCUGGAACGGGGUGCCAUAGAGGGUGAGAGCCCCGUGAGUUGUCUUUUUAGCUCUUUAAGUCUUUACCAAAGAGUCGAGUUGUUUGGGAAUGCAGCUCUAAGUGGGUGGUAAAUUCCAUCUAAGGCUAAAUACCGGCGAGAGACCGAUAGCGAACAAGUACAGUGAUGGAAAGAUGAAAAGCACUUUGAAAAGAGAGUGAAACAGUACGUGAAAUUGUUGAAAGGGAAGGGUAUUUGGCCCGACAUGGGGUUCUGUGCACCGUUGCCCUCUUGUAGGCGGCGCUCUGCUGGGAGCCUGGGSCCAGCAUCAGUUUUCCGGCGAGGAUAAG
This 419-nucleotide ribosomal RNA is filed under the name Saturnispora diversa. Its description in RNAcentral is "partial large subunit ribosomal RNA". Lineage: Eukaryota; Fungi; Ascomycota; Pichiomycetes; Pichiales; Pichiaceae. The record is from RNAcentral.